This 253-nucleotide ribosomal RNA is filed under the name uncultured bacterium. Its description in RNAcentral is "partial 16S ribosomal RNA". It matches the Rfam family "Bacterial small subunit ribosomal RNA", at positions 524 to 776 of the family's 1533-position model. The record is from RNAcentral.
UACGUAGGGUGCGAGCGUUAAUCGGAAUUACUGGGCGUAAAGCGUGCGUAGGCGGUUUCAUAAGCUUGAUGUGAAAGCCCCGGGCUUAACCUGGGAAUGGCAUUGAGGACUGUGAGGCUUGAGUGCGGCAGAGGGAGGUGGAAUUCCACGUGUAGCAGUGAAAUGCGUAGAGAUGUGGAGGAACACCGAUGGCGAAGGCAGCCUCCUGGGCCGACACUGACGCUGAUGCACGAAAGCGUGGGGAGCAAACAGG